GAUGAACGCUGGCGGCGUGCCUAAUACAUGCAAGUCGAGCGAACGGACGAGAAGCUUGCUUCUCUGAUGUUAGCGGCGGACGGGUGAGUAACACGUGGAUAACCUACCUAUAAGACUGGGAUAACUUCGGGAAACCGGAGCUAAUACCGGAUAAUAUUUUGAACCGCAUGGUUCAAAAGUGAAAGACGGUCUUGCUGUCACUUAUAGAUGGAUCCGCGCUGCAUUAGCUAGUUGGUAAGGUAACGGCUUACCAAGGCAACGAUGCAUAGCCGACCUGAGAGGGUGAUCGGCCACACUGGAACUGAGACACGGUCCAGACUCCUACGGGAGGCAGCAGUAGGGAAUCUUCCGCAAUGGGCGAAAGCCUGACGGAGCAACGCCGCGUGAGUGAUGAAGGUCUUCGGAUCGUAAAACUCUGUUAUUAGGGAAGAACAUAUGUGUAAGUAACUGUGCACAUCUUGACGGUACCUAAUCAGAAAGCCACGGCUAACUACGUGCCAGCAGCCGCGGUAAUACGUAGGUGGCAAGCGUUAUCCGGAAUUAUUGGGCGUAAAGCGCGCGUAGGCGGUUUUUUAAGUCUGAUGUGAAAGCCCACGGCUCAACCGUGGAGGGUCAUUGGAAACUGGAAAACUUGAGUGCAGAAGAGGAAAGUGGAAUUCCAUGUGUAGCGGUGAAAUGCGCAGAGAUAUGGAGGAACACCAGUGGCGAAGGCGACUUUCUGGUCUGUAACUGACGCUGAUGUGCGAAAGCGUGGGGAUCAAACAGGAUUAGAUACCCUGGUAGUCUACGCCGUAAACGAUGAGUGCUAAGUGUUAGGGGGUUUCCGCCCCUUAGUGCUGCAGCUAACGCAUUAAGCACUCCGCCUGGGGAGUACGACCGCAAGGUUGAAACUCAAAGGAAUUGACGGGGACCCGCACAAGCGGUGGAGCAUGUGGUUUAAUUCGAAGCAACGCGAAGAACCUUACCAAAUCUUGACAUCCUUUGACAACUCUAGAGAUAGAGCCUUCCCCUUCGGGGGACAAAGUGACAGGUGGUGCAUGGUUGUCGUCAGCUCGUGUCGUGAGAUGUUGGGUUAAGUCCCGCAACGAGCGCAACCCUUAAGCUUAGUUGCCAUCAUUAAGUUGGGCACUCUAAGUUGACUGCCGGUGACAAACCGGAGGAAGGUGGGGAUGACGUCAAAUCAUCAUGCCCCUUAUGAUUUGGGCUACACACGUGCUACAAUGGACAAUACAAAGGGCAGCGAAACCGCGAGGUCAAGCAAAUCCCAUAAAGUUGUUCUCAGUUCGGAUUGUAGUCUGCAACUCGACUACAUGAAGCUGGAAUCGCUAGUAAUCGUAGAUCAGCAUGCUACGGUGAAUACGUUCCCGGGUCU
Molecule: ribosomal RNA, 1372 nt
Filed under: uncultured bacterium
Lineage: Bacteria
Description: bacterial SSU rRNA
Rfam family: Bacterial small subunit ribosomal RNA
Source: RNAcentral